Molecule: ribosomal RNA, 253 nt
Filed under: uncultured bacterium
Lineage: Bacteria
Description: partial 16S ribosomal RNA
Rfam family: Bacterial small subunit ribosomal RNA
Source: RNAcentral
UACGUAGGGGGCUAGCGUUGUUCGGAAUUACUGGGCGUAAAGCGCGCGUAGGCGGGCAUCUAAGUCAGGGGUGAAAUGCCAGGGCUCAACCUUGGAAUUGCCUUUGAUACUGGAUGUCUGGAGUUCGGGAGAGGUGAGUGGAAUUCCGAGUGUAGAGGUGAAAUUCGUAGAUAUUCGGAGGAACACCAGAAGCGAAGGCGGCUCACUGGCCCGAUACUGACGCUGAGGCGCGAAAGCGUGGGGAGCAAACAGG